UAAAUUACUAAGAGUAUUUGGUGGAUGCCUUGGUAUUAGCAGGCGAUGAAAGACGUGGUAGGCUGCGAAAAGUUGCGGGGAGUUGUCAACAAACUUUGAUCCGCGAAUGUCUGAAUGGGGUAACCCACUCCGCAAGGAGUAUUGCAAACUGAAUUCAUAGGUUUGUAAAGCAAAACCUAGGGAACUGAAAUAUCUAAGUACCUAGAGGAAAAGAAAUCAACCGAGAUUCCGUAAGUAGUGACGAGCGAACGCGGAACAGCCCAGUAGUACACAGAUAAGAACUCAAAUUGUAUGGAAAGGCAAUCGACACAGGGUGAUAGACCCGUAGAGGUAGAAAGUUUGUGUAUUCUUGAGUAAACCGGGACACGUGAAAUCCCGAUUGAAUAUGGGGGGACCUCCCUCCAAGGCUAAAUACUAGCUAAUGACCGAUAGUGAACAAGUACCGUGAGGGAAAGGUGAAAAGAACCCCGAUAAGGGGAGUGAAAUAGAUCCUGAAACCAAAUACUUACAACCAGUCAGAGCCUGAGGCAACUCGGGUGAUGGCGUACCUUUUGCAUAAUGAGCCAGCGAGUUAUUGUAUCAGGCGAGCUUAAGUCGAUUAUGAUGUAGGCGUAGCGAAAGCGAGUUUUAAAAGAGCGUUUAGUCUGGUGCAAUAGACCCGAAACCAAUGCGAGCUAUUCAUGACCAGGUUGAAGGUGGAAUAAACCCCACUGGAGGACCGAACUAGUUACUGUUGAAAAAGUAUUGGAUGAGUUGUGAAUAGGAGUGAAAGGCUAAUCAAGCUUGGACAUAGCUGGUUCUCCGCGAAAACUAUAUAGGUAGUGCGUCAUGUGUUUCUCAUCGGGGGUAGAGCUACUGAGUGGGUGCGGGGGAGCAAGUCUCCUACCAAUCUCAACCAAACUCCGAAUACCGAUGAAUUAAGCAUGGCAGACAGACGGUGGGUGAAAACAUCCAUCGUCGAGAGGGAUAAAAACCCAGAUCGUCGUAUAAGGUCCCCAAAUUGUAGCUAAGUGGAAAAGGAAGUGAGGAGGCCAAAACAGCUAGGAUGUUGGCUUAGAAGCAGCCAUCAUUUAAAGAAAGCGUAACAGCUCACUAGUCUAAUAGCCUUCUUGCGCCGAAGAUGUAACGGGGCUAAAGCUACAUACCGAAGACACGAGAUUAAAGCAAUUUAAUCAGUAGCGGAGCGUUCUGUAAGCCUGCGAAGGCACCUGGUGAUGGGUGCUGGAGGUAUCAGAAGUGUUGAUGCUGGCAUAAGUAACGAUAAGGGGCACGAGAAUUGCCCCCACCAUAAACUCAAGGUUUCCUGCGCCAUGGUAAUCAGCGUAGGGUUAGUCGGGUCCUAAGAUCAAGCCCAAAGGCGUAGUCGAUGGCAAUCAGGUUAAUAUUCCUGAACCUGCUAGAAAGUGACGGAUUGAAAUCGUCGUAAGUGGUUAUUAGAUUCCGCUUGCGUAGAAAUCGGUUCCAGGAAAUAGCUCUAGCGUACAGCCCGUACCGUAAACCGACACAGGUGAGUGAGUAGAAUAUACUAAGGUGUUUGAGAUAAGUAUUCUGAAGGAACUAGGCAAAUUGCAUCCGUAACUUCGGGAGAAGGAUGGCCUACAUAUACGCAAGUACUUGUAGGUGGCACAGAAAUGGGGGUGGCGACUGUUUACUUAAAACACAGGGCACUGCAAACCUGAAUAAGGGGAAGUAUAGUGUCUGACGCCUGCCCGGUGCUGGAAGAUUAACAGGAGAUGUGCAAGCAUUGAAUCGAAGUCCCAGUAAACGGCGGCCGUAACUAUGACGGUCCUAAGGUAGCGAAAUUCCUUGUCGGGUAAGUUCCGACCUGCAUGAAUGGCGUAACGAUCUCCCCACUGUCUCCAGAAUAUUCUCAGUGAAAUUGGAUUGGCCGUGAAGAUACGGUCCACCCGCAGUUAGACGGAAAGACCCUAUGAACCUUUACUAUAGCUUUACAAUGAUAUUAAAAAUUAAAUGUGUAGGAUAGAUGGGAGACUUGGAAGUUGCGACGCUAGUCGUGAUGGAGUCGUCGUUGAAAUACCAUUCUUUUGAUUUUUGAUAUCUAACCAAGAUCCGUAAAAGUGGAUCUGGGACAUUGUAUGGUGGGUAGUUUGACUGGGGCGGUCGCCUCCUAAAGAGUAACGGAGGCGUUCAAAGAUUGGCUCAGGUGGGAUUAAGCCACUGUUGGAGUGUAAUAGCAUAAGCCAAUUUGACUGCAAGACUGACAAGUCGAGCAGGGACGAAAGUCGGAUAUAGUGAUCUGGUGCUUCUGCGAGGAAGGGGCAUCACUCAACGGAUAAAAGGUACUCUAGGGAUAACAGGCUGAUAGUGUCUAAGCGCCCAAAGCGACGACACUGUUUGGCACCUCGAUGUCGACUCAUCACAUCCCGGGGCUGAAGAAGGUCCCAAGGGUCCGGCUGUUCGCCGGUUAAAGUGGUACGUGAGUUGGGUUUAAAACGUCGUGAGACAGUUUGGUCCCUAUCUGCUGUGGGCGUCAGGAAGAUUGAGCGGGGUCGACUCUAGUACGAGAGGACCGAGUUGAAUAUGCCAAUGGUGCACCAGUUGUCCUGCUAAGGGCAUAGCUGGGUAGCUACGCAUAGAAAAGAUAAACGCUGAAAGCAUAUAAGCGUGAAACUUGCCGCAAGAUGAUUCUUCCCAAUUAGGGACGUGGAAGACCACCACGUUGAUAGGAUGGGUGUGUAAGACUGGUAACAGUUUCAGCUAACCAUUACUAAUUCCCGAUUGAUUU
This 2746-nucleotide ribosomal RNA is filed under the name Candidatus Deianiraea vastatrix. Its description in RNAcentral is "23S ribosomal RNA". It matches the Rfam family "Bacterial large subunit ribosomal RNA". Lineage: Bacteria; Pseudomonadati; Pseudomonadota; Alphaproteobacteria; Rickettsiales; Candidatus Deianiraeaceae. The record is from RNAcentral.